UGGGGAAUAUUGCACAAUGGGCGAAAGCCUGAUGCAGCAACGCCGCGUGCGGGAUGACGGCCUUCGGGUUGUAAACCGCUUUCACUCAUGACGAAGCUUUUUGUGACGGUAGUGGGAGAAGAAGCACCGGCUAACUACGUGCCAGCAGCCGCGGUGAUACGUAGGGUGCGAGCGUUGUCCGGAUUUAUUGGGCGUAAAGAGCUUGUAGGCGGUUUGUCACGUCGGGAGUGAAAACUCAGGGCUUAACCCUGAGCCUGCUUCUGAUACGGGCAGACUUGAGGAAGGUAGGGGAGAAUGGAAUUCCUGGUGGAGCGGUGGAAUGCGCAGAUAUCAGGAGGAACACCAGUGGCGAAGGCGGCUCUCUGGACCUUUCCUGACGCUGAGAAGCGAAAGCGUGGGGAGCAAACAGGCUUAGAUACCCUGGUAGUCCACGCCGUAAACGGUGGGUACUAGCUGUGGGGGACAUUCCACGUUCUCCGUGCCGCAGCUAACGCAUUAAGUACCCCGCCUGGGGAGUACGGUCGCAAGACUA
RNAcentral lists this ribosomal RNA (532 nucleotides) under uncultured bacterium. Its description in RNAcentral is "bacterial SSU rRNA". It matches the Rfam family "Bacterial small subunit ribosomal RNA", at positions 355 to 896 of the family's 1533-position model. The record is from RNAcentral.